UGUCUGCAUGCAAACUGGCAAGCUUCUGACUUUAGGAAUGAUUUACAGGAAAUUUUAAUGUAGUCAGCAUGAGUGCAUUAUGGACAGCAAAACUGGGAAUGAAAUUUGGCCUUGAAAAUGAGAAAAAAGGCUUUUCAUUACUGGUUUGUAUUCGGCCAGCCACCCAGCCAGCGCCAAAUCCGGCCCUACAGCAGCUCUGCUGACCCCAGGGCUACACGUCUGCUACACGUCUGCCGAGUGAGCUAACCUGUGGAGAUGGACAAUUCGACCAAACUCAUGUAGGAAACUGGUGCCUGACCCCAGUCCUGGCACUGCCCCGGUUCGCUGGCAGCUGGCGGUGCAGCAGCCAGGAGGAAAUGCUGGGGCUUAAGUGAUUUAACUUGGAGAGCACAGCAGCAAGAAUGAAAUCCACUUACACGGGCUAAUUGAUAAUGAAUGACUCCUUAAUUAGAAAUUAUAGAAAUGCCCCCAAACUUAAGAGGAGAAAUGGGACCAAGGUGUUGAUGAGCUGAGGGGUAUUUUUGUGACUCUGGAUUUUCCUUCAAAGAUGCUCUUGCCAAUUAACUUUUCAUGACAUAAAUUUGUUUGCCUUAAUACAUCCAGUUAGAAGCAUUUUCAGAUACAUUAUUUAAGGCCUGAAAAUAAAUAGUGGAUGCUCAGCCUGCGCUCUGUAAAGCUCAGAGCGGCUUGCCUUCUCGCUCAAUUAUUGAUGGCGCUUUCCGCUGCAUUUGAGACACUCCUGCCUGCACAGGGGAAAAUCCUGGCUUGUUUUCUUGCUUGCUCUAUUCCUCAAAGUCUCAAAAAAUCUCAUUCGGCAAUGGAUUUGAGGCUUUUAUCACCGCUCUGUAUUUCACCCUUACCACAGCAGAGAAUUUAUUUCAGCUGCUGAAGCCCCAUCCGUGAGCUGCCAGCCCCAGGAAUUUCUCACCACAGGCACUAACGAUGGGAUGAUGCAGUGAGAUUUCACUUAGUGUAUCUUUUUAUUUAAAAA
Long non-coding RNA from Cygnus atratus (black swan), 991 nucleotides. RefSeq lists it as uncharacterized. The record is from RefSeq and is a predicted model, not a curated record. The transcript has 3 exons. Lineage: Eukaryota; Metazoa; Chordata; Aves; Anseriformes; Anatidae.